Molecule: ribosomal RNA, 461 nt
Filed under: uncultured bacterium
Lineage: Bacteria
Description: partial 16S ribosomal RNA
Rfam family: Bacterial small subunit ribosomal RNA
Source: RNAcentral
CCUACGGGCGGCAGCAGUGAGGAAUAUUGGUCAAUGGACGAGAGUCUGAACCAGCCAAGUAGCGUGAAGGAUGACUGCCCUAUGGGUUGUAAACUUCUUUUAUAUGGGAAUAAAACGUUCCACGUGUGGGAUUUUGUAUGUACCAUAUGAAUAAGGAUCGGCUAACUCCGUGCCAGCAGCCGCGGUAAUACGGGGGAUGCAAGCGUUAUCCGGAUUUAUUGGGUUUAAAGGGUGCGUAGGCUGUGAGGUAAGUCAGCGGUGAAAUGCCCCGGCUCAACGGGGUGAAGUGCCAUUGAUACUGCCUUGCUGGAGUGCGGAUGCCGUGGGAGGAAUGUGUGGUGUAGCGGUGAAAUGCUUAGAUAUCACGAAGAACUCCGAUUGCGAAGGCAGCUUACUAGACUGCCACUGACAUUGAUGCUCGAAAGUGUGGGUAUCAAACAGGAUUAGAUACCCUAGUAGUC